RNAcentral lists this ribosomal RNA (433 nucleotides) under uncultured bacterium. RNAcentral describes it as "partial 16S ribosomal RNA". It matches the Rfam family "Bacterial small subunit ribosomal RNA", at positions 29 to 507 of the family's 1533-position model. The record is from RNAcentral.
AACGAACGCUGGCGGCAUGCCUAACACAUGCAAGUCGAACGAGACCUUCGGGUCUAGUGGCGCACGGGUGCGUACCGCGUGGGAACCUGCCCUUAGGUUCGGAAUAACUCCCCGAAAGGGGUGCUAAUACCGGAUAAUGUCUUCGGACCAAAGAUUUAUCGCCUUUGGAUGGGCCCGCGUUGGAUUAGCUAGUUGGUAGGGUAAAAGCCUACCAAGGCGACGAUCCAUAGCUGGUCUGAGAGGAUGAUCAGCCACACUGGGACUGAGACACGGCCCAGACUCCUACGGGAGGCAGCAGUGGGGAAUAUUGGACAAGGGGCGAAAGCCUGAUCCAGCAAUGCCGCGUGAGUGAUGAAGGCCUUAGGGUUGUAAAGCUCUUUUACACGGGAUGAUAAUGACAGUACCGGGAGAAUAAGCUCCGGCUAACUCCGUG